RNAcentral lists this ribosomal RNA (440 nucleotides) under uncultured bacterium. RNAcentral's name for it is "partial 16S ribosomal RNA". It matches the Rfam family "Bacterial small subunit ribosomal RNA", at positions 338 to 795 of the family's 1533-position model. The record is from RNAcentral.
CCUACGGGUGGCAGCAGUGGGGAAUAUUGCACAAUGGACGGAAGUCUGAUGCAGCGACGCCGCGUGAGUGAAGAAGGCAUUCGGUUUGUAAAGCUCUAUCAGCAGGGAAGAAAGUGCUGGUACUUGAAUAUGAACGUCCGGCUAAUUACGUGCCAGAAGGCGCGGUAAUACGGAGGGCGCAAGCGUUAUCCGGAAUUACUGGGUGUAAAGGGAGCGUAGGUGGAUGGGCAAGUCCGACGUGAAAGCCCAAGGCUCAACCAGGGAUCUGCAUUAGAGACUGGUCAGCUAGAGUGCAGGAGAGGCAAGUGGAAUUCUAAGUGUAGCGGUGAAAUGCGUAGAGAUCAGGAGGAACACCAGUGGCGAAGGCGGCUUGCUGGACUGUAACUGACGCUGAGGCUCGAAAGCGUGGGGAGCAAACAGGAUUAGAUACCCUAGUAGUC